GUCUGCCGUGAAUAAGGUAGGCUACGUAUUUUUGACGAACAGGAGUUGUGAUGGGAAAACGAUGAGUUUUCUCUGUGAGCAGUCGGAAAGAGUGAAUAUUUAAUGCCGAGUGACUUCAGCAGCUUGAACAGGAUUUGCAAACCAGGCAGACACCGGGUCAGACGCAGCUCAGGAGUGGAGUGGAGCUGUCAAAGACACAAUGAAAUGGAUUUAUCAUCUCUAUUUUUAUGUACCACAAGUAUUUGGAAUCUUUAGUCAUUUCCAUUAGGAUUUCACAUAAUAGCUACUUUAAAUACAAGAGCCUUACAAUAAUGUUUUUACAUCAGUAUCUUAAUUCACUGUAUGCCAUUUUCAUACAGUGCUGUUAAUAUUAAAAUGUAAACUUGAUGUAAUGAUGAAUAAAACAUUUUUGGAUCUUUUGUCAUUGGCACCAGUAAAUCAAAGAGCAAUAUUUUUCUUUCAACAAAGUAACAUCAGUGCAGAUGACAGGAAUUGUUCAGCAUUUGAUUACUAAGAUUGGCUAGCAGCCAUAUCACCAUGUAGCCCAAGACUGGUUGCCCACUGAAGCUAAACAGGGUUGAGCCUGGUCAGUACCUGGAUGGGAGACCUCCUGAGAAAACUAGGUUGCUGCUGGAAGAGUUGUUAGUAGUGUAAGGGUCUGUGUGGCUCCUAACGCCCCAGUAUACA
This is a long non-coding RNA of Onychostoma macrolepis, 687 nucleotides long. RefSeq lists it as uncharacterized. NCBI's taxonomy places the organism in Eukaryota, Metazoa, Chordata, Actinopteri, Cypriniformes, Cyprinidae. The transcript has 3 exons. The record is from RefSeq and is a predicted model, not a curated record.